RNAcentral lists this ribosomal RNA (253 nucleotides) under uncultured bacterium. RNAcentral describes it as "partial 16S ribosomal RNA". It matches the Rfam family "Bacterial small subunit ribosomal RNA", at positions 524 to 776 of the family's 1533-position model. The record is from RNAcentral.
UACGUAGGGUGCAAGCGUUAAUCGGAAUUACUGGGCGUAAAGCGUGCGCAGGCGGUUGUGCAAGACAGAUGUGAAAUCCCCGGGCUUAACCUGGGAAUUGCAUUUGUGACUGCACGGCUAGAGUGUGUCAGAGGGGGGUAGAAUUCCACGUGUAGCAGUGAAAUGCGUAGAUAUGUGGAGGAAUACCGAUGGCGAAGGCAGGUCUCUGGGCUGACACUGACGCUCAUGCACGAAAGCGUGGGGAGCAAACAGG